AACAAAAACAUGUCUUUUUGAUAAUAAUUUAAAGUCUAGCCUGCCCAAUGAUUAUUAAUUGAAUGGCCGCGGUAUUUUGACCGUGCUAAGGUAGCAUAAUAAUUAGUUUUUUAAUUGAGAACUGGUAUGAAUGGCUGGACAAAGAAAAUUCUGUCUCAAGUUUAAUUUAAUUAGAAUUUUAUUUUUAAGUUAAAAAGCUUAAAUGAUUUUAAAAGACGAGAAGACCCUAUAGAGUUUUAUAUUAUUUAUUAUAAAUAAUUUAAGGAAUUAUAUAUUUUAUAUAUUAAAUAGUAUUUUGUUGGGGUGACAAAAAAAUUAAAUGAACUUUUUUUAUAUUUUAUCAUUAAUUUAUGAUUAAGUGAUCCAUUUUUUAUGAUUAUAAGAUUAAAUUACCUUAGGGAUAACAGCGUAAUUUUUUUUGAGAGUUCAUAUCGAAAAGAAAG
RNAcentral lists this ribosomal RNA (443 nucleotides) under Phoberus sulcatus. Its description in RNAcentral is "partial 16S ribosomal RNA". The stretch from base 1 to 157 matches the Rfam family "Archaeal large subunit ribosomal RNA", at positions 1898 to 2099 of the family's 2987-position model. Lineage: Eukaryota; Metazoa; Arthropoda; Insecta; Coleoptera; Trogidae. The record is from RNAcentral.